Molecule: transfer RNA, 87 nt
Filed under: Candidatus Latescibacteria bacterium ADurb.Bin168
Lineage: Bacteria; Pseudomonadati; Candidatus Latescibacterota
Description: tRNA-Tyr
Rfam family: tRNA
About the family: Transfer RNA (tRNA) molecules are approximately 80 nucleotides in length. Their secondary structure includes four short double-helical elements and three loops (D, anti-codon, and T loops).
Source: RNAcentral
GGGCGGGCGCCGGAGUUGGAGAGCCGGGGCAGACUGUAAAUCUGUUGCCUAAUGGCUUAGGGGGUUCGAAUCCCUUACCGCCCACCA